CAGUCGCCGCGGGAAUACGAAGGGGGCUAGCGUUGCUCGGAAUGACUGGGCGUAAAGGGCGCGUAGGCGGAUUGUUUAGUUAGGCGUGAAAUUCCUGGGCUUAACCUGGGGACUGCGCUUAAUACAGGCAGUCUAGAGUGAGGAAGAGGGUUGUGGAAUUCCCAGUGUAGAGGUGAAAUUCGUAGAUAUUGGGAAGAACACCGGUGGCGAAGGCGGCAACCUGGUCCUUGACUGACGCUGAGGCGCGAAAGCGUGGGGAGCAAACAGGAUUAGAGACCCCGGUAGUCCCUGUCUCUUAUAC
Molecule: ribosomal RNA, 301 nt
Filed under: uncultured bacterium
Lineage: Bacteria
Description: partial 16S ribosomal RNA
Rfam family: Bacterial small subunit ribosomal RNA
Source: RNAcentral